This 253-nucleotide ribosomal RNA is filed under the name uncultured bacterium. RNAcentral's name for it is "partial 16S ribosomal RNA". It matches the Rfam family "Bacterial small subunit ribosomal RNA", at positions 524 to 776 of the family's 1533-position model. The record is from RNAcentral.
GACGGAGGGGGCUAGCGUUGUUCGGAAUCACUGGGCGUAAAGGGCGUGUAGGCGGACUUGCAAGUCAGGCGUGAAAUCCCUGGGCUCAACCCAGGAAUUGCACUUGAAACUGCAAGCCUUGAGUGUCGGAGAGGAAAGUGGAAUUCCUGGUGUAGAGGUGAAAUUCGUAGAUAUCAGGAGGAACACCAAUUGCGAAGGCAGCUCGCUGGGACGUUACUGACGCUGAGACGCGAAAGCGUGGGGAGCGAACAGG